UCAUGCAAACAAAGAAUCAGCCAAAGUGUAUUUCUAACAGAAGAAGAAACUCCUGUGAUUGGCCAAGUGAAUCACAGGAUUCGGCUCAUCACUGGACUGUCAAAUGAAACAGCCGAGUUUCUCCAGGUUGCUGAUUAUGGCAUUGGAGGAUACUAUGAACCUCAUGUGGAUUAUUUUUGGACUUUGACAGUAACCCUUUGGGGUUUAUUGUGACGGAGAAUCGUGUGGCCACAUUCACGAACUAUGAACUGUUACACUGCUUCCUACAGUGACAGCACCGUUUUACUUUCCCACCAUCAGUGUAUGACCGUUACCAUUUCUUCACAACCCUGUCAAC
Dama dama (fallow deer) is the source of this 337-nucleotide long non-coding RNA. RefSeq lists it as uncharacterized. The record is from RefSeq and is a predicted model, not a curated record. Lineage: Eukaryota; Metazoa; Chordata; Mammalia; Artiodactyla; Cervidae. The transcript has 5 exons.